Silurus meridionalis is the source of this 434-nucleotide long non-coding RNA. RefSeq lists it as uncharacterized. The transcript has 2 exons. Lineage: Eukaryota; Metazoa; Chordata; Actinopteri; Siluriformes; Siluridae. The record is from RefSeq and is a predicted model, not a curated record.
AGAACUGUGCAGGAGACAGAUCAGAGUGGCACAGAGAUGACACCAACGACAUCUCGAUGCAGAUUAUUGCCACAACGGUCAAGACGAAGCAAGAGACCUGUAUGAAAUAAUUGUGAGUAAUAUAUUACAAAUGAUCAAAUAAAAAAUGUCAUUAAAAAACUCCAGUCAUGCAUUUAUGGGCUUUUGAGAGACGCAUUUAUGUUCCUUUUGUUUCUAUGCAACAAACACAAUGAAUGUUUAGUUUGAUUUAAACAAAUAUUUAAACAUACAGACUUUAUUUUCUUAGGAGAAAUUUCUCCCUUAGCAUUAAUAACAAUAAGUGGAGCUCAAAGUCUACUAGCAUUUUAUGCAUUGUGUCACAUGAUUGGCUGAUUGGAUUAUUACAUGAAAAAGCAGGUGUAUAACCUUUCUUAAUAAAGGACAUGCAUUUAUUU